Molecule: ribosomal RNA, 140 nt
Filed under: uncultured eukaryote
Lineage: Eukaryota
Description: partial 18S ribosomal RNA
Rfam family: Eukaryotic small subunit ribosomal RNA
Source: RNAcentral
UGGUGGAGUGAUUUGUCUGGUUAAUUCCGUUAACGAACGAGACCUUAACUUACUAAAUAGUUAUACAUAAAUCUUUUUAUGUGGGCGACUUCUUAGAGGGACUUUGUGUGUCUAACACAAGGAAGUUUGAGGCAAUAACA